Molecule: long non-coding RNA, 822 nt
Organism: Hippocampus comes (tiger tail seahorse)
Lineage: Eukaryota; Metazoa; Chordata; Actinopteri; Syngnathiformes; Syngnathidae
Exons: 3
Source: RefSeq, a predicted model, not a curated record
ACACCAUACAAUCCGAUGGAGUUCUAAUCACCCACUGUAACACAUAUGACCCAGGGUGUUUUUGCCUUUGCUGUUGCAUAAUAAUGGGUUCAUUAGACCAACUGCGAUUUACUUAUCAAAAGAUGGCAAAGGACGAAUACACUCGAACACUAAAAAAAAGAACACUGUCAUACUUGAGUACAGGUCAGCAUUUAAUUAGUGCAUAAGAACUUGGGAAUGUUCAUCUGAGAGGCCAUCUUGGAGCAUGAUGAAGAAUGUUGGAGUCCUACAGUAUUUGGGUGUUUUGCAGUGAGUAGAGGAUGGAGAGUGGAUGGAGACCGCCGACUUGCCUGCAAGAUAUGUGACCCCAGUCGGAAAUUCCAACAUGGACUUGAUUCACCUGUGGACGGGGCGAGGUGGCCAUCGGGAAUUUCAGGUGAUUCCCAAACAGCCGGCCCAUUAAAGCCAACCCCACCGCCAACCCCCACCCCUCCUCCAAUCCUUGAACAUCAUUACGUUUCGGCACAAUAUGGUUGCCAGCCGACCCCACCUAUGAAGGAUUAUUCCUGGGCCAAAUUUUUUUUCCCAGCAUGUCUCUCAAUGGGAACCUGGAGGACUGAGAAAGCAUUUUCAAAUGGUACACUAUUGUAGUUCACGGUACACGUGAACUACAUACAAUAGUGACGUUGUUGCACUGAAGACGCUGCCAAAGUGCGUCCCAUGCCGCCGCGUCAGGUCUCGACUCAGGUAGGCACUGAUUCCUUUUUAUAAACUCACAAGCUGUUGUAUCGACUUCAUUUUUGUUUCGUUCAUGUUCGGGGCCAUUAUGGCUGUUGCUCAUCA